AGCAGCCGCGGUAAUUCCAGCUCCAAUAGCGUAUAUUAAAGUUGUUGCAGUUAAAAAGCUCGUAGUUGAAUUUCGGGACCAUCAUGUUGGUCGUGCCUCGGUACGUACUGGCAUUGUUGGUUUCUCCCUUCUGACGAACCAUGAUGUCAUUUAUUUGGUGUCGUGGGAAAUCAGGACUGUUACUUUGAAAAAAUUAGAGUGUUUAAAGCAGGCUCACGCUUGAAUACAUUAGCAUGGAAUAAUGAAAUAGGACGUUUGAUUCUAUUUUGUUGGUUUCUAGGAUCGACGUAAUGAUUAAUAGGGAUAGUUGGGGGCAUUAGUAUUCAAUUGUCAGAGGUGAAAUUCUUGGAUUUAUUGAAGACUAACUACUGCGAAAGCAUUUGCCAAGGAUGUUUUCAUUAAUCAAGAACGAAAGUUAGGGGAUCGAAGACGAUCAGAUACCGUCGUAGUCUUAACCAUAAACUAUGCCGACUAGGGAUCGGGAUGAUGUUAAUUUAUAAUGACUCAUUCGG
RNAcentral lists this unclassified non-coding RNA (512 nucleotides) under uncultured Glomus. RNAcentral's name for it is "SSU rRNA". It matches the Rfam family "Eukaryotic small subunit ribosomal RNA", at positions 569 to 1083 of the family's 1831-position model. Lineage: Eukaryota; Fungi; Glomeromycota; Glomeromycetes; Glomerales; Glomeraceae. The record is from RNAcentral.